This 85-nucleotide transfer RNA is filed under the name Pseudomonadota bacterium. RNAcentral's name for it is "tRNA-Tyr". It matches the Rfam family "tRNA". Rfam says of the family: Transfer RNA (tRNA) molecules are approximately 80 nucleotides in length. Their secondary structure includes four short double-helical elements and three loops (D, anti-codon, and T loops). The record is from RNAcentral. Lineage: Bacteria; Pseudomonadati; Pseudomonadota. RNAcentral also lists the same sequence under 1 other name.
CCAGGGGUGGCAGAGUGGACAAUUGCACCAGUCUGUAAAACUGGCGGGUUUAUACCCUACGGAGGUUCGAAUCCUCCCCCCUGGA